GACGAACGCUGGCGGCGUGCCUAAUACAUGCAAGUCGAACGAGAGCGACCGGUGCUUGCACUGGUCAAUCUAGUGGCGCACGGGUGAGUAACACGUGGGUAACCUGCCCAUCAGAGGGGGAUAACAUCCGGAAACGGAUGCUAAAACCGCAUAGGUCUUCGAACCGCAUGGUUUGAAGAGGAAAAGAGGCGCAAGCUUCUGCUGAUGGAUGGACCCGCGGUGCAUUAGCUAGUUGGUGAGGUAACGGCUCACCAAGGCCGUGAUGCAUAGCCGACCUGAGAGGGUGAUCGGCCACAUGGGGACUGAGACACGGCCCAAACUCCUACGGGAGGCAGCAGUAGGGAAUCUUCCGCAAUGGACGCAAGUCUGACGGAGCAACGCCGCGUGAGUGAAGAAGGUUUUCGGAUCGUAAAACUCUGUUGUUAGAGAAGAACAAGUGCUAGAGUAACUGUUAGCGCCUUGACGGUAUCUAACCAGAAAGCCACGGCUAACUACGUG
Molecule: ribosomal RNA, 498 nt
Filed under: uncultured bacterium
Lineage: Bacteria
Description: partial 16S ribosomal RNA
Rfam family: Bacterial small subunit ribosomal RNA
Source: RNAcentral